UAGACGGCUGGACAUUCUUCUUGUACCUUGGCGCUAGCUGGAUGACGGGACCUCAUCAUGAUCAGUGUAUUGCUUGCCUAUGUCUACAAGAACCUUCACGCGUGGCCUGUGACAGCAAGCUUUUGUGGGCAGCCAGUGCUCUCCUACGAAGGCUGGCCUGCUAUGGCAGCGGCGGCAAUCAUCUUCAAGAUUUAUCCAUGCUCACCUUUGCUGCUAUUUGUCACUCUUAUUAAUUACACUGUCUGCAUCUUUUCUAAUUUAUUAGGUAAUAAAGUAUGACUAUGUGA
Molecule: long non-coding RNA, 287 nt
Filed under: Dermacentor andersoni
Lineage: Eukaryota; Metazoa; Arthropoda; Arachnida; Ixodida; Ixodidae
Description: uncharacterized LOC126524752
Source: RNAcentral